RNAcentral lists this ribosomal RNA (399 nucleotides) under uncultured bacterium. RNAcentral's name for it is "bacterial SSU rRNA". It matches the Rfam family "Bacterial small subunit ribosomal RNA", at positions 360 to 776 of the family's 1533-position model. The record is from RNAcentral.
AAUAUUGGACAAUGGGCGAAAGCCUGAUCCAGCCAUGCCGCGUGGAUGAUGACGGCCCUAGGGUUGUAAAGUCCUUUUAACGGGGAAGAUAAUGACGGUACCCGUAGAAUAAGCCCCGGCUAACUUCGUGCCAGCAGCCGCGGUAAUACGAAGGGGGCUAGCGUUGCUCGGAAUUACUGGGCGUAAAGCGCACGUAGGCGGCUUUCUAAGUCAGGGGUGAAAUCCUGGAGCUCAACUCCAGAACUGCCUUUGAUACUGGAGAGCUUGAGUUCGGGAGAGGUGAGUGGAACUGCGAGUGUAGAGGUGAAAUUCGUAGAUAUUCGCAAGAACACCAGUGGCGAAGGCGGCUCACUGGCCCGAUACUGACGCUGAGGUGCGAAAGCGUGGGGAGCAAACAGG